Molecule: small nucleolar RNA, 75 nt
Organism: Tigriopus californicus
Lineage: Eukaryota; Metazoa; Arthropoda; Copepoda; Harpacticoida; Harpacticidae
Product: small nucleolar RNA U43
Exons: 1
Source: RefSeq, a predicted model, not a curated record
AUGAUGAUUUUCCUUGAUUUUAUGGUUAGAACUGGAGAGACCGAUGAAGCCUGUUAACUAGGGCGAACUGAGUUG